GACGAACGCUGGCGGCGUGCUUAACACAUGCAAGUCGAACGAAGAGCGAUGGAAGCUUGCUUCUAUCAAUCUUAGUGGCGAACGGGUGAGUAACGCGUAAUCAACCUGCCCUUCAGAGGGGGACAACAGUUGGAAACGACUGCUAAUACCGCAUACGAUCUAAUCUCGGCAUCGAGGAUAGAUGAAAGGUGGCCUCUACAUGUAAGCUAUCACUGAAGGAGGGGAUUGCGUCUGAUUAGCUAGUUGGGGGGGUAACGGCCCACCAAGGCGAUGAUCAGUAGCCGGUCUGAGAGGAUGAACGGCCAAGUUGGGACUGGGACACGGCCCAGACUCCUACGGGAGGGAGCAGUGGGGAAUCUUCCGCAAUGGACGAAAGCCUGACGGAGCAACGCCGCGUGAGUGAUGACGGCCUUCGGGUUGUAAAGCUCUGUUAAUCGGGACGAAAGGCCUUCUUGCGAAUAGUGAGAAGGAUUGACGGUACCGGAAUAGAAAGCCACGGCUAACUACGUG
This 510-nucleotide ribosomal RNA is filed under the name uncultured bacterium. RNAcentral describes it as "partial 16S ribosomal RNA". It matches the Rfam family "Bacterial small subunit ribosomal RNA", at positions 28 to 507 of the family's 1533-position model. The record is from RNAcentral.